Molecule: ribosomal RNA, 253 nt
Filed under: uncultured bacterium
Lineage: Bacteria
Description: partial 16S ribosomal RNA
Rfam family: Bacterial small subunit ribosomal RNA
Source: RNAcentral
UACGGAGGGGGCUAGCGUUGUCCGAAGUUACUGGGCGUAAAGCGCGCGUAGGCGGGUUGGUAAGUCCGCUGCGAAAGCCCGGAGCUCAACUCCGGAGGGUCGGUGGAUACUGCCAGUCUUGAAGGUGCUAGGGGGAGAUGGAAUUACCGGUGUAGCGGUGAAAUGCGUAGAUAUCGGUAGGAACACCAGUGGCGAAGGCGGUCUCCUGGGGCAUUCUUGACGCUGAGGCGCGAAAGCUGGGGGAGCGAACGGG